AGAGUUUGAUCCUGGCUCAGGACGAACGCUGGCGGCGUGCUUAACACAUGCAAGUCACGGGGGCUCGCAAGAGCAACCGGCGAACGGGUGCGUAACACGUGAGCAACCUACCGAUUUGUGGGGGAUAGCCGGCCCAACGGCCGGGUAAUACCGCAUACGCUUCUCGAGUCUCCUGACUUGAGAAGGAAACCUCCGGGGCAAAUCGAGGGGCUCGCGGCCUAUCAGCUAGUUGGCGAGGUCAUGGCUCACCAAGGCGACGACGGGUAGCUGGUCUGAGAGGAUGGCCAGCCACAUUGGGACUGAGAAACGGCCCAGACUCCUACGGGAGGCAGCAGUGGGGAAUCUUGCGCAAUGGACGAAAGUCUGACGCAGCGACGCCGCGUGGGGGAUGACGGGUUUCGGCUUGUAAACCCCUGUUGCCCGGGACGAAACGCUU
Molecule: ribosomal RNA, 436 nt
Filed under: uncultured bacterium
Lineage: Bacteria
Description: bacterial SSU rRNA
Rfam family: Bacterial small subunit ribosomal RNA
Source: RNAcentral